Molecule: long non-coding RNA, 437 nt
Filed under: Manihot esculenta (cassava)
Lineage: Eukaryota; Viridiplantae; Streptophyta; Magnoliopsida; Malpighiales; Euphorbiaceae
Description: long non-coding RNA (MESC_LNC006069)
Source: RNAcentral
UCCAUCCCUAAUUCUGGUGCUAUUCUUUGCUCUUUUGUGACUCUUCUCCUCUUUGUCAUCUGUCUGGAAAAGAAGUGGAGUUGGGACUUGAGCUGGGGUGGGAGUAAGGAGGUCCUCCCACUAAAAUAUUCAAAAGAGGCACUGCCUACUGUUGUUCCCAAAAAACACAGUUGAGUGCCCAGGAGGUGGAGGUCCUCCCACUAAAAUAUUCAAAAGAGGCACUGCCUACUGUUGUUCCCAAAAAACACAGUUGAGUGCCCAGGAGGUGGCCUUGACCUUCGGUAUUUUAGAAGAAAUGGCUGCUUUAGAAACUUGACCUGUUUUUCCUUUGAUUAGGAAUGGAUUGAGACCUUUUCCUUUGCGACAGACAGAGACAGUGGUAUCUUCAAUAGUUUUCUUCUUUUGGUUUCUUAUUCUAAUUCCUUGCUAGUUUUUUC